AUUGAACGCUGGCGGCAUGCCUUACACAUGCAAGUCGAACGGCAGCGCGGACCUCGGUCUGGCGGCGAGUGGCGAACGGGUGAGUAACACAUCGGAACGUACCCUGUUGUGGGGGAUAACUAGUCGAAAGAUUAGCUAAUACCGCAUACGACCUGAGGGUGAAAGUGGGGGACCGCAAGGCCUCACGCAGCAGGAGCGGCCGAUGUCUGAUUAGCUAGUUGGUGGGGUAAAGGCCACCAAGGCGACGAUCAGUAGCUGGUCUGAGAGGACGAUCAGCCACACUGGGACUGAGACACGGCCCAGACUCCUACGGGAGGCAGCAGUGGGGAAUUUUGGACAAUGGGGGCAACCCUGAUCCAGCAAUGCCGCGUGUGUGAAGAAGGCCUUCGGGUUGUAAAGCACUUUUGUCCGGAAAGAAAUCGCGCUGGUUAAUACCUGGCGUGGAUGACGGUACCGGAAGAAUAAGCACCGGCUAACUACGUGCCAGCCGCCGCAGUAA
RNAcentral lists this ribosomal RNA (499 nucleotides) under uncultured bacterium. RNAcentral describes it as "partial 16S ribosomal RNA". It matches the Rfam family "Bacterial small subunit ribosomal RNA", at positions 29 to 523 of the family's 1533-position model. The record is from RNAcentral.